UGGGGAAUAUUGGACAAUGGGCGCAAGCCUGAUCCAGCCAUGCCGCGUGAGUGACGAAGGCCUUAGGGUUGUAAAGCUCUUUUGGCGGGGAAGAUAAUGACGGUACCCGCAGAAUAAGCUCCGGCUAACUUCGUGCCAGCAGCCGCGGUAAUGCGAAGGGAGCUAGCGUUGUUCGGAAUCACUGGGCGUAAAGCGCACGUAGGCGGACUUUCAAGUCAGGGGUGAAAUCCCGGGGCUCAACCUCGGAACUGCCUUUGAUACUGUUGGUCUCGAGUCCGGAAGAGGUGAGUUGAAUUCCUAGUGUAGAGGUGAAAUUCGUAGAUAUUAGGAAGAACACCGGUGGCGAAGGCGGCUCACUGGUCCGGUACUGACGCUGAGGUGCGAAAGCGUGGGGAGCAAACA
Molecule: ribosomal RNA, 402 nt
Filed under: uncultured bacterium
Lineage: Bacteria
Description: bacterial SSU rRNA
Rfam family: Bacterial small subunit ribosomal RNA
Source: RNAcentral